Molecule: ribosomal RNA, 460 nt
Filed under: uncultured bacterium
Lineage: Bacteria
Description: partial 16S ribosomal RNA
Rfam family: Bacterial small subunit ribosomal RNA
Source: RNAcentral
CCUACGGGUGGCAGCAGUGAGGAAUAUUGGUCAAUGGGCGUAAGCCUGAACCAGCCAAGUCGCGUGAGGGAUGAAGGUUCUAUGGAUCGUAAACCUCUUUUAUACGGGAAUAAAGUGCGGGACGUGUCCCGUUUUGUAUGUACCUUAUGAAUAAGGAUCGGCUAACUCCGUGCCAGCAGCCGCGGUAAUACGGAGGAUGCGAGCGUUAUCCGGAUUUAUUGGGUUUAAAGGGUGCGUAGGCGGCCUUUUAAGUCAGCGGUGAAAGUCUGUGGCUCAACCAUAGAAUUGCCGUUGAAACUGGGGGGCUUGAGUGUGUUGGAGGUAGGCGGAAUGCGUGGUGUAGCGGUGAAAUGCUUAGAUAUCACGCAGAACCCCGAUUGCGAAGGCAGCAUGCCAAGCCAUGACUGACGCUGAUGCACGAAAGCGUGGGGAUCAAACAGGAUUAGAUACCCUAGUAGUC